CCAGCACGAAAAGGACGUGGCAAACAUAGCAAAGAAACCAACCAAAACGGCACUGGUUAGACAUGUAAGUACGACCAACCAUCAUUUCGAUUUCAACCGAGCUCAGAUUCUUCGCCAAGUACGCACCCGUGGCUUGCUGAAGAUACAUGAAGCCAAUCACAUCAUCUUAAACGAAAGCUCGGUCGUAAAUUUCAAAAAAGACGCCAAACAUGUCUCGCCGGUGGUAUACAACCUGAUCAAAGAGAAAAUGAUCGGCAAACGUCUACACAACCGUAACAUUCGAAAUACGACACCACGGCACACAACAACUGUCGAAAGCGAACAGUCCUAUGAAUCCGUGGAACAGAUGUUUCGUCAAUAAUGACACUUCGAAAUAAAAAUUCACGCCAGAUUGUUUAUAAACACAACCGUGAUAACAAAGUUUUUAUAAAUUUAGUCUAACCGCAAUUUGUGUGAUAUUUACAAUUUUAUAAGUUAACCCUGAAGAUGACCGGUCAAACCGGUCGAAUGCACGGUAGUAUCAACAAAUAAGUGUUUUCAUUUACGGUCGAUUGUGUAAGCAACACAACAACUGGAGGUCCUAACACCAUUCCCCCAGACAAACAA
This is a long non-coding RNA of Bradysia coprophila, 606 nucleotides long. Lineage: Eukaryota; Metazoa; Arthropoda; Insecta; Diptera; Sciaridae. The record is from RefSeq and is a predicted model, not a curated record.